AGUGAACGCUGGCGGUAGGCCUAACACAUGCAAGUCGAACGGCAGCACAGUAAGAGCUUGCUCUUACGGGUGGCGAGUGGCGGACGUGUGAGGAAUACAUCGGAAUCUACUUUUUCGUGGGGGAUAACGUAGGGAAACUUACGCUAAUACCGCAUACGACCUACGGGUGAAAGCAGGGGAUCUUCGGACCUUGCGCGUUUGAAUGAGCCGAUGUCGGAUUAGCUAGUUGGCGGGGUAAAGGCCCACCAAGGCGACGAUCCGUAGCUGGUCUGAGAGGAUGAUCAGCCACACUGGAACUGAGACACGGUCCAGACUCCUACGGGAGGCAGCAGUGGGGAAUAUUGGACAAUGGGCGAAAGCCUGAUCCAGCCAUACCGCGUGGGUGAAGAAGGCCUUCGGGUUGUAAAGCCCUUUUGUUGGGAAAGAAAAGCAGCAGGUUAAUACCCCGCUGUUAUGACGGUACCCAAAGAAUAAGCACCGGCUAACUUCGUG
RNAcentral lists this ribosomal RNA (492 nucleotides) under uncultured bacterium. RNAcentral describes it as "partial 16S ribosomal RNA". It matches the Rfam family "Bacterial small subunit ribosomal RNA", at positions 29 to 507 of the family's 1533-position model. The record is from RNAcentral.